CCUUCAUGAAGCCGGAAUUGCUAGUAAUGGCAGGUCAGCAUACUGCCGUGAAUACGUUCCCGGGCCUUGUACACACCGCCCGUCACACCAUGAGAGUUGGGAAUACCCGAAGCCUGUGAGCUAACUUUUAGAGGCAGCAGUCGAAGGUAGAAUCAAUGAUUGGGGUGAAGUCGUAACAAGGUAUC
RNAcentral lists this ribosomal RNA (185 nucleotides) under uncultured bacterium. RNAcentral's name for it is "partial 16S ribosomal RNA". It matches the Rfam family "Bacterial small subunit ribosomal RNA", at positions 1315 to 1500 of the family's 1533-position model. The record is from RNAcentral.